This 2299-nucleotide long non-coding RNA is filed under the name Olea europaea (common olive). RNAcentral's name for it is "long non-coding RNA (OEUR_LNC009771)". The record is from RNAcentral. Lineage: Eukaryota; Viridiplantae; Streptophyta; Magnoliopsida; Lamiales; Oleaceae.
CCCUGACCCUUUUGAUGAUAUCUUGGUAACUUCAGUGAAAGGCCAUCAGGUAUGUAAUUAAAUCCAUUUCUUGCAACAGCAAUUCUGAACUUAAUCAUCAUAAAACUCAGGCACAUUCUUUUCCUACGCUACCAGGUAGCUGCAGUCAAUAAAAUAAGUCAUGCAGUUGGAAAAGCAGAACAAUUCAAUGCUGCUAACGAAACAAUUUUUGGCAUCGAACAAUAUUGACUGUGUUAAAUACCUGAUCAUCAGGAUAAAUGUAACUAAGCAGAAGAGGGUCAGAUAGCCAUGAACCCAAGAUCUCCGAAUCGUGCUUAUAGUAAAGCAGCAAGCUUGAGAGACUAGUGCCUUCGUCUGAUAGUCAGUAGUUGUGGUUCAAUUGUUAUAUCUAAGCUUCCGUGUGGACCAUAGAACUUGAAGAAAGAUGAUCCUUCUUAUUCAAUAAGAAUCCAGAUAAAUAUUACCUGAAACAGCUGCCAUCACCAACCUACAGAUGCAAAAGAUCAAAAGUGCCACCCUUUAGCCCGCCAAUAUCUUUGUGCAUUUUCAUUGACACGAGCGUUCUUUAACUUCAGGAAAAGCUUAUAUGCUAUUUCUACUUUAUUUGAAGCCAGCAGUUUAUUAUUCAGUUUGCUACAAAUAAGCUUGCUAGGGAAAAAUCCCUUGUGCAGAGAUUCCUCCAUGACUAGGACAGCAGUUUCAAGCUGCCCCGUGUUACAGAGGCCAUUGAUAACAUACUCAUAAGCCUGCAUAUCACAAGAAUAGCCACUUUCUUGCAUCUCCUCCCAUAUAUUCAGCAGCAUCCCACACUUCCCAAACCUAGAUAACCGCAUAAGCAAGAGCUUAUAGGCAGUCAGUGAUAUUCUGCAUCCAACUUUUCUUGCCUUAUUAUAUAUCAUCAAGGCAGCAUGAGGCGGACCAUAGCCACACAAAGGUUCAAUGAACGUGGUGAGAGUACCUGCUGUAGGAAUGAUCCCUCGAGCUAGCAUUUCAUCAAACAGUUCGAUAGCGUCUGAAACUCUUUUAACUUUAAGAAAUGCAGCUAUUAUUCUAGCAUAAGUAUCCAUAUUUGGCUCAUAAUUAUUACUCAACAUCCGCUUAUAAUAUUUCAAGCCUUCAUCAAUAUCUCCAACAGCAAUAAAAUUAAAAACCAUUGCAUUAUAAACCCCAGUACUUAGCAUAGUUCGUUUCUCCUCAAAGUACUCAAAGAUCUUAACAGCGUUAUCAACACGACCAGAUCUCCCCAAACCCUCAAGAAUAUAACUGUAAGUUACACAAUCAUGCUCAACUCCAUCGUUCACCAUAACUUUCAAGAAUUUCUCAACUUCACUAACUCUGCCAAACUUGGACCACCCACCUAUGAUAAUAUUAUAAGUCUCGCUGUCAGGUUGUACUUUCUCUUUCAUUCUGUUAAAUAGUGAACUUGCAGUGCCCACAAAUGAUCGUUGACAUAAGCACUGCAAAAUAACAUUCAACGUCUCCACAUUAACUUUUAAACCAUAUUUCUCCAGUUCCCCGAAAAUUUUAAUAGCUUUAGAAACUUGUCGAGCACGAACAUAACUAUCCAGAACAAUGAAAAGGGUUUUGGGAUUAGGGUUCACUUCCUUAGCUCUCAUAUCAUUUAAUAUUUCCAUCAUAUACAUAAAAAAUUAGAAAGGGUUCAACUGUUCAAGUAAUUUCCUGAUCUUUAAAUUCUUAUGGAAGCAUAACUGGAGCCUGCCCAAUGAGAUGAUCCCAGCAUUUCCAGUGGUGAAAAUGAUAUCCACUGAAGAUACAUGAUGCUCCAUUAAGCACUUCCUGGCACAUAUCUAAAACACAAGGAAUGACAUCUUUUAUUUAAUUUUCAAACAAUACUGCAUCUGCGAAGCACAGAACAGCAUUCAAUCGGGGCCAGUAUAUUGUGUAGACCACUACAUUAACUUGAAAAUUUAAUUACACAAAGAGUCAAUAAAGCAUUAGAAAACAACAAAGGCACAAUAAAUGAUGCACAGAAAAUACAUGCCCUGACCCUUUUGAUGCCCUGACCCUUUUGAUGAUAUCUUGGUAACUUCAGUGAAAGGCCAUCAGGUAUGUAAUUAAAUCCAUUUCUUGCAACAGCAAUUCUGAACUUAAUCAUCAUAAAACUCAGGCACAUUCUUUUCCUACGCUACCAGGUAGCUGCAGUCAAUAAAAUAAGUCAUGCAGUUGGAAAAGCAGAACAAUUCAAUGCUGCUAACGAAACAAUUUUUGGCAUCGAACAAUAUUGACUGUGUUAAAUACCUGAUCAUCAGGAUAAAUGUAACUAAGCAGAAGAGGGUCA